AUUGAACGCUGGCGGCAUGCCUUACACAUGCAAGUCGAACGGCAGCACGGGAGCAAUCCUGGUGGCGAGUGGCGAACGGGUGAGUAAUACAUCGGAACGUGCCCAGUAGUGGGGGAUAACCCGGCGAAAGCCGGACUAAUACCGCAUACGACCUACGGGUGAAAGCAGGGGAUCGCAAGACCUUGCGCUAUCGGAGCGGCCGAUGUCAGAUUAGCUAGUUGGUAGGGAAAAGCCUACCAAGGCAACGAUCUGUAGCUGGUCUGAGAGGACGACCAGCCACACUGGGACUGAGACACGGCCCAGACUCCUACGGGAGGCAGCAGUGGGGAAUUUUGGACAAUGGGCGCAAGCCUGAUCCAGCCAUGCCGCGUGCGGGAAGAAGGCCU
RNAcentral lists this ribosomal RNA (386 nucleotides) under uncultured bacterium. RNAcentral's name for it is "bacterial SSU rRNA". It matches the Rfam family "Bacterial small subunit ribosomal RNA", at positions 29 to 417 of the family's 1533-position model. The record is from RNAcentral.